GAUUCCCCUAGUAACUGCGAGUGAAGCGGGAAAAGCUCAAAUUUAAAAUCUGGCGGUCUUUGGCCGUCCGAGUUGUAAUCUAGAGAAGUAAUGCCCGUGCUGGACCGUAUACAAGUCUCCUGGGAUGGAGCAUCAUGGAGGGUGAGAAUCCCGUACCUGAUACGGACUACCAGUACAUUGUGGUAUGCUUUCAACGAGUCGAGUUGUUUGGGAAUGCAGCUCAAAAUGGGUGGUAAAUUCCAUCUAAAGCUAAAUAUUGGCGAGAGACCGAUAGCGAACAAGUACCGUGAGGGAAAGAUGAAAAGAACUUUGGAAAGAGAGUUAAACAGUACGUGAAAUUGCUGAAAGGGAAACGCUUGAAGUCAGUCGCGUCUGCUGGGAAUCAGCCUCGCUCUUGCGUGGUGUACUUUCUGGUGUGACGGGUCAGCAUCAAUUUUGAUCACUGGAAAAAGGUGUGAGGAAUGUGGCAGCUUCGGCUGUGUUAUAGACUCGCGUCGUAUACAGUGGUUGGGAUUGAGGAACGCAGCACGCCGCAAGGCCGGGUCUUCGGACCACGUUCGUGCUUAGGAUGCUGGCAUAAUGGCUUUAAGCGACCCGUCUUGAAACACGGACCAAGGAGUCUAACAUGCCUGCGAGUGUUUGGGUGGAAAACUCGAGCGCGCAAUGAAAGUGAAAGUUGAGAUCCCUGUCGUGGGGAGCAUCGACGCCCGGACCAGAACUUUUGGGACGGAUCCGCGGUAGAGCAUGUAUGUUGGGACCCGAAAGAUGGUGAACUAUGCCUGAAUAGGGUGAAGCCAGAGGAAACUCUGGUGGAGGCUCGUAGCGGUUCUGACGUGCAAAUCGAUCGUCAAAUUUGGGUAUAGGGGCGAAAGACUAAUCGAACCA
This 885-nucleotide ribosomal RNA is filed under the name Micropsalliota geesterani. RNAcentral's name for it is "partial 25S ribosomal RNA". It matches the Rfam family "Eukaryotic large subunit ribosomal RNA", at positions 73 to 942 of the family's 3401-position model. Lineage: Eukaryota; Fungi; Basidiomycota; Agaricomycetes; Agaricales; Agaricaceae. The record is from RNAcentral.